AGAGUUUGAUCCUGGCUCAGGAUGAACGCUAGCGGCAGGCUUAACACAUGCAAGUCGAGGGGCAGCAUGACACGGAGAUUCGUCGAAGUGUCGAUGGCGACCGGCGCAAGGGUGCGUAACGCGUGAGCAACUUGCCCGUUUCUGGGGAAUAACCGUUGGAAACGACGACUAAUACCCCAUGGCAUCAUGAUGAGGCAUCUCAUUAUGAUUAAAGAACUUCGGAAACGGAUAGGCUCGCGUGACAUUAGCUAGAUGGCGGGGUAACGGCCCACCAUGGCGACGAUGUCUAGGGGUUCUGAGAGGAAGGUCCCCCACACUGGAACUGAGACACGGUCCAGACUCCUACGGGAGGCAGCAGUGAGGAAUAUUGGUCAAUGGUCUGACGACUGAACCAGCCAUGCCGCGUGAAGGAGACGGCCCUAUGGGUCUUAAACUUCUUUUGUAAGGGAGCAAUAAGGUCUACGUGUAGAUCGAUGAGAGUACCUUACGAAUAAGCAUCGGCUAACUCCGUGCCAGCAGCCGCGGUAAUACGGGGGAUGCAAGCGUUAUCCGGAUUUAUUGGGUUUAAAGGGUGCGUAGGCGGUCAGGUAAGUCAGCGGUGAAAUUUAGGGGCUCAACCUCUACCGUGCCGUUGAUACUGUCUGACUGGAAUGCGGAUGCCGUGGGAGGAAUGUGUGGUGUAGCGGUGAAAUGCAUAGAUAUCACACAGAACACCGAUUGCGAAGGCAUCUCACGAAUCCGCGAUUGACGCUGAUGCACGAAAGCGUGGGGAUCAAACAGGAUUAGAUACCCUGGUAGUCCACGCUGUAAACGAUGAUGACUAACCGUCG
This 830-nucleotide ribosomal RNA is filed under the name uncultured bacterium. Its description in RNAcentral is "bacterial SSU rRNA". It matches the Rfam family "Bacterial small subunit ribosomal RNA", at positions 8 to 825 of the family's 1533-position model. The record is from RNAcentral.